Long non-coding RNA from Drosophila montana, 928 nucleotides. RefSeq lists it as uncharacterized. The record is from RefSeq and is a predicted model, not a curated record. The transcript is spliced from 3 exons. Lineage: Eukaryota; Metazoa; Arthropoda; Insecta; Diptera; Drosophilidae.
AAAACACCCGUACAGGUGAAGGCGUUUAUGAAUAGAAAUACAUGCACAGUAUAUAUAGCUGCUGCACCUGUACCUAUAUAGUAUAUAUGUUCGCAAACAUCGAGCAUGUAUUGCCCACAAGCUGUAACGCUUCUUCGUUUUCCUCUCCGUGUUAACGUUUAAUGCGAUUUUGCUUCGGUAUCCGUUUGACAGUCGCCAAAUACCCAGCAGCAAAUGGAAGUAUGGCAAAGCCACGGCAAACAACAUCCUUUCAGUCUUUGCUGUGCUGUGUAAACACAGGACAUAUAGUGAAAUAUUGAAUUGCCAAACUUGCCAUACCGUUAACAAACACAAUUCCAUAUUAUCUCCUGUUUUCUUUGGGCUCUUGCUGCUAUUAAACCUUACAAGCAGUUCAGUUAUGGUGUUUUAUUUGAAUGUACCUCGAUUUGUUGCGCAAUAUGCUGUGCAUGAUGUUGCAUACAAGACAUGGUUUACUCGUGUUUCGGCAGGGGUACGUUGCAGUCCAUAGGUAGGCUACAGUGCCCAGAACAAAAAUAUGCAAAUGUGACACUCAAAGGGUUAAGAGUGAGAGCGAGACUCAGCGGAACGGACAAGGCAGAUACAUGGACUGAAAGGCUUGUCAGACAUGUCUGGCACUUUGCCCGCUCGGAGCUGAGACUCAACUGUCUACUUUAAAUGCCGGCCACACUUACAGCGGAUAAUUUUUAUCAAUUUUAUAUGAACUGAGCCCUUUUCAAAUGUGUAUCACGGGGUAUACUGGUUUUUGCCAAAUCAUCAAAAAACGAAUCGAUUAAGCAAUAUUUGGAAGUAAGGUUCUCCUAAAGCAGGCGCCGAGCUCCCCAGCUCUCACCAUUAUUAAAAAUGUCCUUUAUGCAGGAUGUUACUGAGAGAAGAAGAAGGACAAGUGCAGGAGUGUAAGUGAAAAGGA